Molecule: long non-coding RNA, 1217 nt
Organism: Chrysemys picta bellii (western painted turtle)
Lineage: Eukaryota; Metazoa; Chordata; Testudines; Emydidae
Source: Ensembl
GUCUGUGAUAAGACCUAGGAUGAACCAUAACAAGUAACAAAUAUUUGUGUAUGGUGUCUAUGUUAGCAUUUACAAGUGUUUGUCUACAGUAAUGUCAGUUACCUUGAACUAAUUUCUAAUCAAUUCACUUGAGUUACAGCACAACCAAAAGCUUUAGUGUGGACAAGCCCGUGGAGAACUUUGUGAGAAACCUAGGUUAGGUUAUUACUAUUAUGCAGAUAAUACACAGUCACUGUAUGUUUCUGCCUCUUCAAACUCUGGGUGGAUGUUAGGUAUCUUGGUAUUUGUGUCAAGACACUCCAUGAUCCCGUGGCUUAGAACCGCUAAGGUUAAUCCUAAAUUAUAUUGGUUGAACCAGAAGGAAAUUGGGAAUAGAGAGCAUUUCCUUGCAAGUUUUUAUGAAGUCACAUAAAGAGAUAGUGUGGGUUGACAUCUAGUCAUAGCUAUUAAUUUGGGUCUGCCUUUAGAAGACAGUAUGUCAGCUGUGGUCAGAAAUUUUUACCACCAUAAAAAUGUCACCCCCAAAUUAUGAUCAUAUCUCUCACUUGAUGAUGCUGUUACAUACCUGCCUUUGUUACACUGAGGUUAGACUAAUGCAAUACGAUCAGCGAUGGUUACCAAAUAGAGUGAUCUUUCACCUGUAGGUACCUUGAGAUUGUGACAGUUUGGUUAUUGGUUGGUUGGGAUCCGGAUAACUGCUGCCGUUUGCACUUCUCUUGCUGCUUGCAUGAGCAUGGACUGAGAUUAAUAUUUGGGUUUUGUCUUUGGGAUGAAUCCCAGAUAUCCUUCAGAGCUGCCCAAGUACCACCCACCUUUCAGGGGUCCAAGAGAAAGUCCCAAGUGCAACAGGCUAACAGUGCUGGAUGGCGUCCCUUUCAACCUGAGACUGACCAGACAAUGAGUCUUUUAAGCCAGUUACUCUGCCACAAAAGGUGUAAAUGACUUCACGUGCAACAGAAGACAAAGAACACUCUAUUUUCACGGGAGCAGGAAAAACCUUACAUUGACCAGCUGUCCAUCAUGGCAGCCCUGCCUAUCUUCCCAGGAAAAUGUUUUCAAGAAAUGUAUGUUAAAAAACUCUGCUGUGUGUAAGGUGAGUGUGAGGUCCAAUAUUUCAUUAAGUUACUGUUUCAUAAGGCUUCUAUUGGAUUCAAGACAAAGGCCAAAACUUUGUAAGGUUCUUAAAAACAGUGUUGAAACAAAUCAAAUACUAACUA